GAUUAAGUUAUUAAGGGCGCACGGUGGAUGCCUUGGCACUAGAAGCCGAUGAAGGACGUUACUAACGACGAUAUGCUUUGGGGAGCUGUAAGUAAGCUUUGAUCCAGAGAUUUCCGAAUGGGGAAACCCAGCAUGAGUUAUGUCAUGUUAUCGAUAUGUGAAUACAUAGCAUAUCAGAAGGCACACCCGGAGAACUGAAACAUCUUAGUACCCGGAGGAAGAGAAAGAAAAUUCGAUUCCCUUAGUAGCGGCGAGCGAAACGGGAAGAGCCCAAACCAACAAGCUUGCUUGUUGGGGUUGUAGGACACUCUAUACGGAGUUACAAAGGACGACAUUAGACGAAUCAUCUGGAAAGAUGAAUCAAAGAAGGUAAUAAUCCUGUAGUCGAAAAUGUUGUCUCUCUUGAGUGGAUCCUGAGUACGACGGAGCACGUGAAAUUCCGUCGGAAUCUGGGAGGACCAUCUCCUAAGGCUAAAUACUCUCUAGUGACCGAUAGUGAACCAGUACCGUGAGGGAAAGGUGAAAAGCACCCCGGAAGGGGAGUGAAAUAGAACCUGAAACCGUGUGCUUACAAGUAGUCAGAGCCCGUUAAUGGGUGAUGGCGUGCCUUUUGUAGAAUGAACCGGCGAGUUACGAUUUGAUGCAAGGUUAAGCAGUAAAUGUGGAGCCGUAGCGAAAGCGAGUCUGAAUAGGGCGUUUAGUAUUUGGUCGUAGACCCGAAACCAGGUGAUCUACCCUUGGUCAGGUUGAAGUUCAGGUAACACUGAAUGGAGGACCGAACCGACUUACGUUGAAAAGUGAGCGGAUGAACUGAGGGUAGCGGAGAAAUUCCAAUCGAACCUGGAGAUAGCUGGUUCUCUCCGAAAUAGCUUUAGGGCUAGCCUCAAGUGAUGAUUAUUGGAGGUAGAGCACUGUUUGGACGAGGGGCCCCUCUCGGGUUACCGAAUUCAGACAAACUCCGAAUGCCAAUUAAUUUAACUUGGGAGUCAGAACAUGGGUGAUAAGGUCCGUGUUCGAAAGGGAAACAGCCCAGACCACCAGCUAAGGUCCCAAAAUAUAUGUUAAGUGGAAAAGGAUGUGGCGUUGCCCAGACAACUAGGAUGUUGGCUUAGAAGCAGCCAUCAUUUAAAGAGUGCGUAAUAGCUCACUAGUCGAGUGACACUGCGCCGAAAAUGUACCGGGGCUAAACAUAUUACCGAAGCUGUGGAUUGUCCUUUGGACAAUGGUAGGAGAGCGUUCUAAGGGCGUUGAAGCAUGAUCGUAAGGACAUGUGGAGCGCUUAGAAGUGAGAAUGCCGGUGUGAGUAGCGAAAGACGGGUGAGAAUCCCGUCCACCGAUUGACUAAGGUUUCCAGAGGAAGGCUCGUCCGCUCUGGGUUAGUCGGGUCCUAAGCUGAGGCCGACAGGCGUAGGCGAUGGAUAACAGGUUGAUAUUCCUGUACCACCUAUAAUCGUUUUAAUCGAUGGGGGGACGCAGUAGGAUAGGCGAAGCGUGCGAUUGGAUUGCACGUCUAAGCAGUAAGGCUGAGUAUUAGGCAAAUCCGGUACUCGUNNNNNNNNNNNNNNNNNNNNNNNNNNNNNNNNNNNNNNNNNNNNNNNNNNNNNNNNNNNNNNNNNNNNNNNNNNNNNNNNNNNNNNNNNNNNNNNNCAUUAAGGCUGAGCUGUGAUGGGGAGAAGACAUUGUGUCUUCGAGUCGUUGAUUUCACACUGCCGAGAAAAGCCUCUAGAUAGAAAAUAGGUGCCCGUACCGCAAACCGACACAGGUAGUCAAGAUGAGAAUUCUAAGGUGAGCGAGCGAACUCUCGUUAAGGAACUCGGCAAAAUGACCCCGUAACUUCGGGAGAAGGGGUGCUCUUUAGGGUUAACGCCCAGAAGAGCCGCAGUGAAUAGGCCCAAGCGACUGUUUAUCAAAAACACAGGUCUCUGCUAAACCGUAAGGUGAUGUAUAGGGGCUGACGCCUGCCCGGUGCUGGAAGGUUAAGAGGAGUGGUUAGCUUCUGCGAAGCUACGAAUCGAAGCCCCAGUAAACGGCGGCCGUAACUAUAACGGUCCUAAGGUAGCGAAAUUCCUUGUCGGGUAAGUUCCGACCCGCACGAAAGGCGUAACGAUUUGGGCACUGUCUCAACGAGAGACUCGGUGAAAUCAUAGUACCUGUGAAGAUGCAGGUUACCCGCGACAGGACGGAAAGACCCCGUGGAGCUUUACUGUAGCCUGAUAUUGAAAUUCGGCACAGCUUGUACAGGAUAGGUAGGAGCCUUUGAAACGUGAGCGCUAGCUUACGUGGAGGCGCUGGUGGGAUACUACCCUAGCUGUGUUGGCUUUCUAACCCGCACCACUUAUCGUGGUGGGAGACAGUGUCAGGCGGGCAGUUUGACUGGGGCGGUCGCCUCCUAAAAGGUAACGGAGGCGCUCAAAGGUUCCCUCAGAAUGGUUGGAAAUCAUUCAUAGAGUGUAAAGGCAUAAGGGAGCUUGACUGCGAGACCUACAAGUCGAGCAGGGUCGAAAGACGGACUUAGUGAUCCGGUGGUUCCGCAUGGAAGGGCCAUCGCUCAACGGAUAAAAGCUACCCCGGGGAUAACAGGCUUAUCUCCCCCAAGAGUUCACAUCGACGGGGAGGUUUGGCACCUCGAUGUCGGCUCAUCGCAUCCUGGGGCUGUAGUCGGUCCCAAGGGUUGGGCUGUUCGCCCAUUAAAGCGGUACGCGAGCUGGGUUCAGAACGUCGUGAGACAGUUCGGUCCCUAUCCGUCGUGGGCGUAGGAAAUUUGAGAGGAGCUGUCCUUAGUACGAGAGGACCGGGAUGGACAUACCUCUGGUGUACCAGUUGUCGUGCCAACGGCAUAGCUGGGUAGCUAUGUGUGGACGGGAUAAGUGCUGAAAGCAUCUAAGCAUGAAGCCCCCCUCAAGAUGAGAUUUCCCAACUUCGGUUAUAAGAUCCCUCAAAGAUGAUGAGGUUAAUAGGUUCGAGGUGGAAGCAUGGUGACAUGUGGAGCUGACGAAUACUAAUCGAUCGAAGACUUAAUCAA
Molecule: ribosomal RNA, 3022 nt
Filed under: Staphylococcus aureus
Lineage: Bacteria; Bacillati; Bacillota; Bacilli; Caryophanales; Staphylococcaceae
Description: 23S ribosomal RNA
Rfam family: Bacterial large subunit ribosomal RNA
Source: RNAcentral